Molecule: ribosomal RNA, 486 nt
Filed under: fungal sp. S53
Lineage: Eukaryota; Fungi
Description: eukaryotic LSU rRNA
Rfam family: 5.8S ribosomal RNA (bases 116-269)
Source: RNAcentral
ACCAAUUGUUGCCUCGGCGGAUCAGCCCGCUCCCGGUAAAACGGGACGGCCCGCCAGAGGACCCCUAAACUCUGUUUCUAUAUGUAACUUCUGAGUAAAACCAUAAAUAAAUCAAAACUUUCAACAACGGAUCUCUUGGUUCUGGCAUCGAUGAAGAACGCAGCAAAAUGCGAUAAGUAAUGUGAAUUGCAGAAUUCAGUGAAUCAUCGAAUCUUUGAACGCACAUUGCGCCCGCCAGUAUUCUGGCGGGCAUGCCUGUUCGAGCGUCAUUUCAACCCUCAAGCCCCCGGGUUUGGUGUUGGGGAUCGGCGAGCCUCACGGCAAGCCGGCCCCGAAAUAUAGUGGCGGUCUCGCUGCAGCUUCCAUUGCGUAGUAGUAAAACCCUCGCAACUGGUACGCGGCGCGGCCAAGCCGUUAAACCCCCAACUUCUGAAUGUUGACCUCGGAUCAGGUAGGAAUACCCGCUGAACUUAAGCAUAUCAAUAA